Molecule: long non-coding RNA, 989 nt
Organism: Ostrea edulis (European flat oyster)
Lineage: Eukaryota; Metazoa; Mollusca; Bivalvia; Ostreida; Ostreidae
Exons: 2
Source: RefSeq, a predicted model, not a curated record
UUAAAUAAAAACAAAUGAAUUGAUGUUGUUCAUUACCAAAUAAAUAACCCAAUCCCCGGAAAUGGACACUGUCUUACUAUUAACUUUCCAUAAAUAUGUUUAUAUCAAAAUAGCAUUCCUCAAUAAAUCUAAAGAAUAGUGAAUGUUUUGCUAAAUAAUUAAGUUUACUUUUUAGCGCUACCUGACAAAAGAAGCCUCAGCUUAUCUAACAAUGACAAAGGCCCCUCCAGUGGGGUAUACGUGGCUAUUGGUGUCACUGUAACACUCCUUGUUGUAGCUGUGUCUGUGAUCGUUGUUCUAGUGUAUGUAAUUCAAAAACUGAGAAAGCAAGUCUCACAACGGUAUAUUAGUGAACCAGAACCACCUUCAGACCAUAAUGAAAUGACAGAAUCACGGGAUUAUGACAAACUAGGGGUCCGCCAUGUUGACGAGUACAUGGAGAUUACUGCCAUCGAUUGUCAAACUCCCCGAGACAGUGUAUCAAACUAUGUAAAUGAAACAUUAAGAUGACAACCAGGAUACAACAAUUGAAAUUAUACAAAUUCUGAUUAAUUGAAAUGAAAUGUUUUCAAUCCAAGCAUAUUUUUAAUCUGACAUUCAAAUAAUCAGAACAAAAGCCUCUCAUUUCUAAACAAGUGGUUAUACCGAAGAGGUAUGUGAAUAUAAACGAAUAUGAUUGUAUAUAUCAAGGCGUGUCUCACCACGAGACAUAUUCCCCCUGUACCUGAACAUACCAUAUGUUUCAAUAUGUAGGUAAUACAUAUAUUUCUUUUAAUCUAUUGAAAAUGAAUACUACAAGGCUAUAAUCAAAGUGUUAAUAAUAUACUGUUAUUCAUGGACAACUAAAUAAUUUAUACUUUGUGAAUAUGUAUUUGCUCUCACUGGUGAUAUGUUACUUCACUCUUUCUGUUUUUGUAUGUUAUUGAUUUCCCAUGUGGCUUCAUUAUUCAGUAUUAAUCCCACCAACGUGAAUAAAUAGUUCUACAAUG